Molecule: non-coding RNA, 172 nt
Filed under: Triticum aestivum (bread wheat)
Lineage: Eukaryota; Viridiplantae; Streptophyta; Magnoliopsida; Poales; Poaceae
Also listed under: 1 other name
Description: Bacterial large subunit ribosomal RNA
Rfam family: Archaeal large subunit ribosomal RNA
Source: Rfam by way of RNAcentral
ACAAGGAAGGGCGUAGCAAGCGAUGAAAUGCUUCGGGGAGUUGAAAAUAAGCAUAGAUCCGGAGAUUCCCAAAUAGGUCAACCUUUUACCUGCUGAAUCCUUGAGCAAGCAAGAGACAACCUAGCGAACUGAAACAUCUUAGUAGCCAGAGGAGGGUGAAGACACAAAUUUG